RNAcentral lists this transfer RNA (60 nucleotides) under Eliomys quercinus (garden dormouse). RNAcentral describes it as "tRNA-Ser". Lineage: Eukaryota; Metazoa; Chordata; Mammalia; Rodentia; Gliridae. The record is from RNAcentral.
AAGAAAGUAGGCAAGAACUGCUAAUUCAUGCAACCAUAUAUAAACCAUAUGGCUUUCUUG